RNAcentral lists this ribosomal RNA (406 nucleotides) under uncultured bacterium. Its description in RNAcentral is "partial 16S ribosomal RNA". It matches the Rfam family "Bacterial small subunit ribosomal RNA", at positions 30 to 526 of the family's 1533-position model. The record is from RNAcentral.
AUUGAACGCUGGCGGCAGGCCUAACACAUGCAAGUCGAACGAGUGGCGGACGGGUGAGUAAUGUCUGGGAAACUGCCCGAUGGAGGGGGAUAACUACUGGAAACGGUAGCCAAUACCGCAUACCAUCGGAUGUGCCCAGAUGGGAUUAGCUAGUAGGUGGGGUAACGGCUCACCUAGGCGACGAUCCCUAGCUGGUCUGAGAGGAUGACCGCCCAACCUGGAACAAGGACACGGUCCAAACUCCUACGGGAGGCAGCGGUGGGGAAUAUUGCACAAUGGGGGCAAGCCUGAUGCAGCCAUGCCGCGGGUUUGAAGCAGGCCUUCGGGUUGUAAAGUCCUUUCGGCGAGGAGGCGUUACUCGCAGAGGAAGCACCGGCUAACUCCGUGCCAGCAGCCGCGGUAAUAC